Small nucleolar RNA from Labeo rohita (rohu), 67 nucleotides. The record is from RefSeq and is a predicted model, not a curated record. Lineage: Eukaryota; Metazoa; Chordata; Actinopteri; Cypriniformes; Cyprinidae.
UUGGGUGUGACGAUAACAUUAUCCCUGAUUUUCAAUGAUUUUCAUGUAUUCAUACUGUCUGACCCAC